GCCAUGGUGGUUUAGCGGUUAGAACGCUGGCCUUGUAAUCCUGGGGUCUCGGGUUCGAUUCCCGGCGGUGCCC
Molecule: non-coding RNA, 73 nt
Organism: Zootermopsis nevadensis
Lineage: Eukaryota; Metazoa; Arthropoda; Insecta; Blattodea; Termopsidae
Source: Rfam